RNAcentral lists this ribosomal RNA (556 nucleotides) under Ralstonia solanacearum. RNAcentral's name for it is "bacterial SSU rRNA". It matches the Rfam family "Bacterial small subunit ribosomal RNA", at positions 213 to 763 of the family's 1533-position model. The record is from RNAcentral. Lineage: Bacteria; Pseudomonadati; Pseudomonadota; Betaproteobacteria; Burkholderiales; Burkholderiaceae.
UCAUGCUAUAGGAGCGGCCGAUGUCUGAUUAGCUAGUUGGUGGGGUAAAGGCCCACCAAGGCGACGAUCAGUAGCUGGUCUGAGAGGACGAUCAGCCACACUGGGACUGAGACACGGCCCAGACUCCUACGGGAGGCAGCAGUGGGGAAUUUUGGACAAUGGGGGCAACCCUGAUCCAGCAAUGCCGCGUGUGUGAAGAAGGCCUUCGGGUUGUAAAGCACUUUUGUCCGGAAAGAAAUCGCACUGGUUAAUACCUGGUGUGGAUGACGGUACCGGAAGAAUAAGGACCGGCUAACUACGUGCCAGCAGCCGCGGUAAUACGUAGGGUCCAAGCGUUAAUCGGAAUUACUGGGCGUAAAGCGUGCGCAGGCGGUUGUGCAAGACCGAUGUGAAAUCCCCGGGCUUAACCUGGGAAUUGCAUUGGUGACUGCACGGCUAGAGUGUGUCAGAGGGAGGUAGAAUUCCACGUGUAGCAGUGAAAUGCGUAGAGAUGUGGAGGAAUACCGAUGGCGAAGGCAGCCUCUGGGAUAACACUGACGCUCAUGCACGAAGCGUG